Molecule: transfer RNA, 69 nt
Filed under: Synechococcaceae bacterium WB8_1B_136
Lineage: Bacteria; Bacillati; Cyanobacteriota; Cyanophyceae; Synechococcales; Synechococcaceae
Description: tRNA-Pro
Rfam family: tRNA
About the family: Transfer RNA (tRNA) molecules are approximately 80 nucleotides in length.
Source: RNAcentral
UGUAGCGCAGCUUGGUAGCGCACUUCGUUCGGGACGAAGGGGCCGCAGGUUCGAAUCCUGUCAUCCCGA